CAAUGGAGGAAACUCUGAACCAGCUACGCCGUGUGCAGGAUGACGGUCUUUUUGGUUGUAAACUGCUUUUGUAUAGAAAUAAAACUCUUACGUGAUAGGAGCUUGAAGGUACUAUACGAAUAAGUGUCGGCUAAUUCCGUGCCAGCAGCCGCGGCAAUACGGAAGACACAAGCGUUAUUCGGAUUUAUUGGGUUUAAAGGGUGUGUAGGCUGUUUAUUAAGUCAGUAGUGAAAGCUUACAGCUUAACUGUAAAAUUGCUAUUGAUACUGGUAUAACUUGAGUAAGAUUGGAGCAUUUGGAAUGUAUGGUGUAGCGGUGAAAUGCAUAGAUAUCAUACAGAACACCGAUAGCGAAGGCAGGCUGCUAAAUCUUUACUGACGCUGAGUGCACGAAAGCGUGGGUAGCAAACAGGAUUAGAUACCCUGGUAGUCCACGCCCUAAACGAUGAUCACUAGCUAUUGGAAAAACGAUAUUCAGUGGCUUAGCGAAAGCGAUAAGUGAUCCACCUGGGAAGUACAGUCGCAAGAUUGAAACUCAAAGGAAUUGACGGGGGUUCGCACAAGCGGUGGAGCAUGUGGUUUAAUUCGAUAUACGC
This 595-nucleotide ribosomal RNA is filed under the name Flavobacteriales bacterium symbiont of Aonidiella sp. RNAcentral describes it as "bacterial SSU rRNA". It matches the Rfam family "Bacterial small subunit ribosomal RNA", at positions 369 to 962 of the family's 1533-position model. Lineage: Bacteria; Pseudomonadati; Bacteroidota; Flavobacteriia; Flavobacteriales. The record is from RNAcentral.